UACGGAGGGGGCAAGCGUUAUUCGGAAUCAUUGGGCGUAAAGGGCGCGUAGGCGGCUUGGCAAGUCAAAGGUGAAAUCCCUCGGCCUAACCGAGGAACUGCCUUUGAAACUGCUUGGCUUGAGGCCGGGAGAGGGCAGCGGAAUUCCCAGUGUAGCGGUGAAAUGCGUAGAUAUUGGGAGGAACACCAGUGGCGAAGGCGGCUACCUGGACCGGUUCUGACGCUGAGGCGCGAAAGCGUGGGGAGCAAACAGG
Molecule: ribosomal RNA, 253 nt
Filed under: uncultured bacterium
Lineage: Bacteria
Description: partial 16S ribosomal RNA
Rfam family: Bacterial small subunit ribosomal RNA
Source: RNAcentral